CCCCUCUCAGGGUCGCACCUGGAAAAUUUCCAGUACUCUACCAGUCAUGAAUACAGGAGGGAAAGUCAAGCAGAGGCCCACCUAUUCCAUUCCUAGCUUGGGCAAUGGCUAGUGAGUGGAAGACAAUCUGCUACAAGU
Molecule: small nucleolar RNA, 138 nt
Organism: Tachyglossus aculeatus (Australian echidna)
Lineage: Eukaryota; Metazoa; Chordata; Mammalia; Monotremata; Tachyglossidae
Source: RefSeq, a predicted model, not a curated record